This 425-nucleotide ribosomal RNA is filed under the name uncultured bacterium. Its description in RNAcentral is "bacterial SSU rRNA". It matches the Rfam family "Bacterial small subunit ribosomal RNA", at positions 356 to 773 of the family's 1533-position model. The record is from RNAcentral.
GGGGAAUAUUGCACAAUGGGCGAAAGCCUGAUCCAGCCAUGCCGCGUGUGUGAAGAAGGUCUUCGGAUUGUAAAGCACUUUAAGUUGGGAGGAAGGGCUGCUGGUUAAUACCCUGCAGUUUUGACGUUACCAACAGAAUAAGCACCGGCUAACUUCGUGCCAGCAGCCGCGGUAAUACGAAGGGUGCAAGCGUUAAUCGGAAUUACUGGGCGUAAAGCGCGCGUAGGUGGUUGGGUAAGUUGAAUGUGAAAGCCCCGGGCUCAACCUGGGAACUGCAUCCAAAACUGCCCGACUAGAGUACGGUAGAGGGUGGUGGAAUUUCCUGUGUAGCGGUGAAAUGCGUAGAUAUAGGAAGGAACACCAGUGGCGAAGGCGACCACCUGGACUGAUACUGACGCUGAGGCAUGAAAGCGUGGGGAGCAAAC